AACGUAGGAGGCGAGCGUUAUCCGGAGUUACUGGGCGUAAAGCGCGCGCAGGCGGUUGAGUAAGUGACUUGUGAAAAUGCCCGGCUAAACUGGGCGAGGUCAGGUCAGACUGCUUGGCUGGAGGGUGGUAGAGGAGCGCGGAAUUCGGGGUGUAGCGGUGAAAUGUGUAGAGAUCCCGAGGAACACCAGUGGUGCAAACGGCGCUCUGGGCCACUACUGACGCUGAGGCGCGAAAGCGUGGGGAGCGAACGGG
Molecule: ribosomal RNA, 253 nt
Filed under: uncultured bacterium
Lineage: Bacteria
Description: partial 16S ribosomal RNA
Rfam family: Bacterial small subunit ribosomal RNA
Source: RNAcentral